UAAGGAAUAUUGCUCAAUGGGAGAAAUCCUGAAGCAGCAACGCCGCGUGGAGGAUGAAGGGUCUAUGACUUGUAAACUCCUGUAAGAAGGAAAAAAUUCCCAUUAGAUGGGAGAUGAUGGUACUUCUGGAGUAAGCCCCGGCUAACUACGUGCCAGCAGCCGCGGUAAUACGUAGGGGGCAAGCGUUGUCCGGAUUUACUGGGUGUAAAGGGUGCUCAGGCGGAUUUGUAAGUCAGAGGUGAAAUCUUACAGCUUAACUGUGAAACUGCCUUUGAUACUGCAAGCCUAGAGUAUGGAAGAGNGUGAUGGAAUAUCUGGUGUAGCAGUAAAAUGCGUAGAUAUCAGAUAGAACACCAAUGGCGAAGGCAGUCACUUGGUCCAUUACUGACGCUAAAGCACGAAAGCGUGGGUAGCAAACA
Molecule: ribosomal RNA, 419 nt
Filed under: uncultured bacterium
Lineage: Bacteria
Description: bacterial SSU rRNA
Rfam family: Bacterial small subunit ribosomal RNA
Source: RNAcentral